AUUGAACGCUGGCGGCAUGCCUUACACAUGCAAGUCGAACGGUAACGAGCCUUCGGGUGCCGACGAGUGGCGAACGGGUGAGUAAUACAUCGGAACGUGCCCGAUCGUGGGGGAUAACGAGGCGAAAGCUUUGCUAAUACCGCAUACGAUCUACGGAUGAAAGCAGGGGACCGCAAGGCCUUGCGCGGACGGAGCGGCCGAUGGCAGAUUAGGUAGUUGGUGGGAUAAAAGCUUACCAAGCCGACGAUCUGUAGCUGGUCUGAGAGGAUGAUCAGCCACACUGGGACUGAGACACGGUCCAGACUCCUACGGGAGGCAGCAGUGGGGAAUUUUGGACAAUGGGCGCAAGCCUGAUCCAGCCAUGCCGCGUGCAGGAUGAAGGCCUUCGGGUUGUAAACUGCUUUUGUACGGAACGAAAAGCCUUCUUUUAAUACAGGAGGGUCAUGACGGUACCGUAAGAAUAAGCACCGGCUAACUACGUG
RNAcentral lists this ribosomal RNA (482 nucleotides) under uncultured bacterium. Its description in RNAcentral is "partial 16S ribosomal RNA". It matches the Rfam family "Bacterial small subunit ribosomal RNA", at positions 30 to 507 of the family's 1533-position model. The record is from RNAcentral.